This 467-nucleotide ribosomal RNA is filed under the name uncultured Rhodoferax sp. RNAcentral's name for it is "bacterial SSU rRNA". It matches the Rfam family "Bacterial small subunit ribosomal RNA", at positions 917 to 1381 of the family's 1533-position model. Lineage: Bacteria; Pseudomonadati; Pseudomonadota; Betaproteobacteria; Burkholderiales; Comamonadaceae. The record is from RNAcentral.
GACGGGACCGCACAAGCGGUGGAUGAUGUGGUUUAAUUCGAUGCAACGCGAAAACCUUACCCACCUUUGACAUGUACGGAAUCCUUUAGAGAUAGAGGAGUGCUCGAAAGAGAGCCGUAACACAGGUGCUGCAUGGCUGUCGUCAGCUCGUGUCGUGAGAUGUUGGGUUAAGUCCCGCAACGAGCGCAACCCUUGUCAUUAGUUGCUACAUUCAGUUGGGCACUCUAAUGAGACUGCCGGUGACAAGCCGGAGGAAGGUGGGGAUGACGUCAAGUCCUCAUGGCCCUUAUAGGUGGGGCUACACACGUCAUACAAUGGCUGGUACAAAGGGUUGCCAACCCGCGAGGGGGAGCCAAUCCCAUAAAGCCAGUCGUAGUCCGGAUCGUAGUCUGCAACUCGACUACGUGAAGUCGGAAUCGCUAGUAAUCGUGGAUCAGAAUGUCACGGUGAAUACGUUCCCGGGUCUU